UGAGAUGCAAACAUUACGUGUGUGUUACAUU
RNAcentral lists this non-coding RNA (31 nucleotides) under Rattus norvegicus (Norway rat). The record is from RNAcentral. Lineage: Eukaryota; Metazoa; Chordata; Mammalia; Rodentia; Muridae.